This 271-nucleotide ribosomal RNA is filed under the name uncultured archaeon. RNAcentral describes it as "partial 16S ribosomal RNA". It matches the Rfam family "Archaeal small subunit ribosomal RNA", at positions 477 to 747 of the family's 1478-position model. The record is from RNAcentral.
CUGCGCUGCAAGUGGCAAUCGCGAUUAUUGGGCCUAAAGCGUCCGUAGUUGGUCGAGUAAGUCUUUUGUUAAACUGCACCGCAUAACGUUGCAUAUGCAAAAGAUACUGCUUGACUUGGGACCGGAGAGAAGUUAGGGGUAUUCGUAGGGGAGCGGUAAAAUGUGAUAAUCCUGCGAAGACCACCUGUGGCGAAGGCGCCUAACUAGAACGGCUCCGACAAUGAGGGACGAAAGCCAGGGGAGCGAAACGGAUUAGAUACCCGAGUAGUCC